Molecule: ribosomal RNA, 497 nt
Filed under: uncultured bacterium
Lineage: Bacteria
Description: partial 16S ribosomal RNA
Rfam family: Bacterial small subunit ribosomal RNA
Source: RNAcentral
GAUGAACGCUGGCGGCGUGCCUAAUACAUGCAAGUCGAGCGAACGGACGAGAAGCUUGCUUCUCUGAUGUUAGCGGCGGACGGGUGAGUAACACGUGGAUAACCUACCUAUAAGACUGGGAUAACUUCGGGAAACCGGAGCUAAUACCGGAUAAUAUUUUGAACCGCAUGGUUCAAAAGUGAAAGACGGUCUUGCUGUCACUUAUAGAUGGAUCCGCGCUGCAUUAGCUAGUUGGUAAGGUAACGGCUUACCAAGGCAACGAUGCAUAGCCGACCUGAGAGGGUGAUCGGCCACACUGGAACUGAGACACGGUCCAGACUCCUACGGGAGGUAGCAGUAGGGAAUCUUCCGCAAUGGGCGAAAGCCUGACGGAGCAACGCCGCGUGAGUGAUGAAGGUCUUCGGAUCGUAAAACUCUGUUAUUAGGGAAGAGCAUAUGUGUAAGUAACUGUGCACAUCUUGACGGUACCUAAUCAGAAAGCCACGGCUAACUACGUG